This is a long non-coding RNA of Mya arenaria, 359 nucleotides long. RefSeq lists it as uncharacterized. The record is from RefSeq and is a predicted model, not a curated record. The transcript is spliced from 4 exons. NCBI's taxonomy places the organism in Eukaryota, Metazoa, Mollusca, Bivalvia, Myida, Myidae.
AUAGCCCUGCGGUUGCAGGCGUGAAGUGUUCGUUUUUUAGCACAGACCGCAGGUGGCCUAUAGCCCUGCGGUUGCAGGCGUGAAGUGUUCGUUUUUUAGCACAGACCGCAGGUGGCCUAUAGCCCUGGGGUUGCAGGCGUGAAGUGUUCGUUUUUUAGCACAGACCGCAGGUGGCCUAUAGCCCUGCGGUUGCAGGCGUGAAGUGUUCGUUUUUUAGCACAGACCGCAGGUGGCCUAUAGCCCUGCGGUUGCAGGCGUGAAGUGUUCGUUUUUUAGCACAGACCGCAGGUGGCCUAUAGCCCUGCGGUUGCAGGCGUGAAGUGUUCGUUUUUUAGCACAGACCGCAGGUGGCCUAUAGC